RNAcentral lists this long non-coding RNA (1255 nucleotides) under Capsicum annuum. Its description in RNAcentral is "long non-coding RNA (CANN_LNC001374)". The record is from RNAcentral. Lineage: Eukaryota; Viridiplantae; Streptophyta; Magnoliopsida; Solanales; Solanaceae.
UAAAAUGACAGCAAUUUCUCCCAACAAAAAUUCCCCUAGACAAAUGUCAUACAUGCAAUAAACAGAAUCUGUGUUUCUUAAUUUGUUGUCACUCUAAAAUAUCACACAACCAUAAAGUCCCAAAUUUUAUUUCACUAUAAAUAUCAUGAAUUUGCUCCAUUCUUUCCACUCAAAAAAUAAAAAAAAUUAAGUUCCUUUUAUUUUGUCAUCAAUGGCUUCCCUUAGUAUUUUCUUUAUUUGUAUUUUCCUAAUUUUGAUUAUUUGUUUGAAGAUGAUGGUAGCUCAAGAUUUGGAAAUGGACAAUAUUGCACCUUCACCGGCGAUGGCUACCGGCGACGGUUUUGCUCCGGCGACCUCUGUUGGAUUGUUCUUGAUUUUUUAUGUAAUUAAUCUCUUUAUUAAUAUGGAUUAAGGUUUUGAUGAUGGUGCAUAUACAUCACCUAAUAUGAUUUUGCGAUCUAUGGGCUAGCUAUUUCCUAUUUGUACUUUAUUUUUUCCUACCACUUGUUACUUAUGGAGUAGUAUUAUGCAUUUGUAUGUUGCAAUUUUAAUUUUAUCCAGUGUGGUUAUAGUUAUUGUUUCAUGCUGUUUUUUUUCAGGACCUCUCUUUUUCUUAGGUCAAUAAGACGAAGUAAUAAUUCUCUCUUAAUUAAGUCACUAGAUUUGGUUGUUUUUCAACUUUCUUGGUCUAAAUGACUUAAGUAGGGGUUUGGCCAUGAAAGUUUUCUCACUUUUUUUUAAAUAUUAUUUCACUUAGUAAAAAAAUAAUAAUAAUAAAAAUAAUAGUGUUUGUUCAUAAAAAUUAUUUCACUUCAGUGAUUUUUUUUUUUUGAAAAAGUAAAAACACGAAAAUUUUUAUUUCUCUCACAAAAUUUUAAAAAAAAAUAUAUAUAUAUUCAUGGUAAACACAAAAUCAACUUCAAUUUUAAAAAAUUACAUUAUUUUCAUGAUCAAACAGGUCUGAUUGUUGUCGUCGUCCUAAGGGAAAUAUAGGUGUAAUAUGAUUGUUGUUAAAAUAGAGAGUUGUACUAAAAUGUCUCAAAAUACUUGUCCCAUUUUUCUGUUUUGAGGUAAAUUACGUAAAUUUUGAGAAGUAUAGGUGAAGGAUCUUAUAACUUACGAAAACUGCUGAAAAAUAUAUGUACACUAGAUACUGUAGCUCGUGUCAGUCUAAGAUAUGUUAUUUAUGUUUUCUCAAUUUAUGUAUCACAAAUGGCAUUUGGAGUGUCAAUCAAAUUUUUUAUUAAUAUAAAUU